GGAGGUAGUGACAAUAAAUCACAAUGCGGGACUGUUAGUCUUGCAAUUGGAUUGAGAACAACGUACAACUCUUAUCGAUAAGCCAUUGGAGGGCAAGUCUGGUGCCAGCAGCCGCGGUAAUUCCAGCUCCAAUAGCGUAUAUUAACGUUGUUGCAGUUAAAAAGCUCGUAGUUGAAGUGAGGGAGUGUGUGGUCAGGACAGCUAGUCUGGAGUGUUCGCAACCUCCCCCCUCCAAUCGGUGUAGUGGGGUAUUCAGUUAUUUCACUACUCCUUUGGUCGUUUACUGUGAGAAAAUUAGAGUGUUCAAAGCGGGCGUUUGUUUGAAUAGAUUAGCAUGGAAUAAUGAUUGAAGGCUUUCGUGUUCGAUUUGAUUGGUUUGUUCAUGGAAGCAAGGUUAAAAGGAACAGUUGGGGGUAUUCAUAUUCACUAGUUAGAGGUGAAAUUCUCGGAUUUAUGGAAGAUGAACAGGUGCGAAAGCA
Molecule: ribosomal RNA, 479 nt
Filed under: Blastocystis sp. subtype 2
Lineage: Eukaryota; Bigyra; Opalinata; Blastocystidae
Description: SSU rRNA
Rfam family: Eukaryotic small subunit ribosomal RNA
Source: RNAcentral